UAUACUCCCUCCGAUCCAUAUUAAUUGGAGUAGCAUAAUUCACGAGUUACAUAGAGGAGAAUAACAAAGCACGACAUCCAGGUGACGGUAACAAAUAGAACGACAACCCAAUAAUUUACAUCCACUAAAAGAAUAUAAGAGCAAGCCACAGGUAAUUUGCAGUGGACAUCAAAUUUUACACAAAGAGCAGGGUGGUGAACAUUGCUGAAAAAUAUAUUGCAUAACUGAACAUUGAUAUUACAAAAUAAUCCACUGACAACAUUUGAUUUACUACUCGCGUAGUUCCCUGAUAAAAUACUGGCAACACGCCUAUAGGUUACAACACCAGCAUGGAAGGAAGAAACCAUUUACACCACAACACAUACAUACAUACAUACAUACAUACAUACAUACAUACAUACAGCAGAGCACUUGUAUGCAAAAACGGGAUGAAAAAUACAUGGGGUAUCACAAUCAUCUAAAAUACACUUAUUGUUGAAAACCCACAUGCUCAUAUAGACUGACUGAAUUGGAAAAAUUCAAAACAAAUGUUUCAAUGCUUAAAAAAUUCUGCGAAAAAAUCCACAGUAUCAUAUAGAUGUAUACUGCAUACUCACAAAUUUUCAUAAUGAAAUACAUGGACAUGAGAGCUACACAAAAAAGACAAAUUGCUGACAUUGGAAAGAGUGAACAGUAUACGAACUGUUCACUGUAUAAACCGAACGAUUUUUAGUUUUUUGUGUAGCUCACGAAUCAAUGUAUUUUCUCUACUCUUAUAAAAAACCGAGUUGGUGAUGAUGGUAUGCCUGCCAUCUUGCAAUAUAGACCGUCCGAUCUAUAUCUGACGGAUAGAAAGCAAACUAUGGCAAUUUUGCAAAAAGAUACCCGCACCCCUCUCCACAUUUGCAGAUAAGGCCUUCCCUCGUUCAUCCUUAUCUCCCACAACCUCAUUGUUGAGCAAUUAAAAAAGGAAGCCUCUGGAACAAUUUGGCAUGGUGGCCGCUGCCAGCGUCGUCCAUCCCCAUGCCUCCGCUCAGUCCGACCACCAAUCACCACCACGCCCCACUCCUGCUCACCUUAUCUCUCCUCUUUCUCGAGCUAUCAUUAGUUUUUACACAUGGUUUUACUCACGCAUGGGUCAAUCACAACAGGUGGCCGCUGCCAGCGUCGUCCAUCCCCAUGCCUCCGCUCAGUCCGACCACCAAUCACCACCACGCCCCACUCCUGCUCACCUUAUCUCUCCUCUUUCUCGAGCUAUCAUUAGUUUUUACACAUGGUUUUACUCACGCAUGGGUCAAUCACAACAGGUGUUUUAUAAAAAAAAGUGCAUCUUGAUGUUCCAUGCAAUGCACGGGCAUCUUGCUAGUCUCAUGAAAUUUUACACAUGUGUAGUAUGCAUCCACAUGUCAAUGUGGAAUUGUUUCCAGAAUUUUUUGAAACUUUGAAAUGUUAUUUUCGAAUGUUUCAAAAAAAGGGCUCCAUGUAGCCUGAGCACCAAAACGCCGCAUUCCCACUUCACGCAGGCGCGCGAAAAAUGGACAAAUAGAAUGGACCAGCAUUUAGCCAUUUACGCCAUACACUUGUGAAUGUAGGCUAUAUGUCAAAAAAUAGCAAAGUUGCAUCAGUGUGGCGGAUGUAAAAAAUGUCGAUCAACUGAACAUAAAAAAAAAAAAGGAAUCCUAGACUUCACAAAAUCAGUGCUUGUUUGAAGCAACUUGGAAACUACGCAACAAAUAACUAAACAGAAACACUACCAACUCCCACCAAAGACUAAAUCUAAAAAUUAGAACUUAGUAAUCUGCUGCCCAAAGCUAGCUCUCAAUUCUCAUCACUGAAGAACUGGUGAAACCAUAUACUCUGAGCUAGCAAAUUUCCCUCUAAUUCGAUUAAAAAUGUUACGGGAUACACUCCCUCAACGUGACCGAAUCAUGCCGACGUACCUAGUUUGCAGUCAAAUUAGUGAUGAAAUCUGAUGAAACCAAAACAACACUAAGCGCUCAGGUGAACUAAUCGCCGAAUCGACUGAAUCACGCAACCACUUAACACAUUUCAAUACCAAAUCAGCAACACAACCAGCACAGCAGGGAAAGGCGCACCGGCGUGGUUGAAGCCGAUCACGGAGCAGGGCGUGGCUCGGUCGUUGGAGCAGGGCCAGGUGGUGUGGUCGGCGGAGAAGGG
RNAcentral lists this long non-coding RNA (2157 nucleotides) under Triticum aestivum (bread wheat). RNAcentral's name for it is "long non-coding RNA (TAES_LNC004118)". Lineage: Eukaryota; Viridiplantae; Streptophyta; Magnoliopsida; Poales; Poaceae. The record is from RNAcentral.